AUGUCCAAGUGGAAGCCUCAACUUCAUGCGAAGGUGAACCACAAGUUGACUUGGAGGUAUCCACAAGUGGUACACAUCAAGACGAUGGAAACGAGGAUGUACAACAAGAUGAACCACGACGACCUCCUUCUCCACCACCACGAGAGAACAACAACGACAACAACAACGAAGAAAGACAAGAGGAAGAACAAAACAAUGAAGAGGAUGUUCCACCCCGACCCAAACAAAAGCUCUCAUGAGUUCGAGCAACAGUCUCAAGAUAUCAUCCCAUCGAACAGAUCUAUGAUUAUAUUCAAACCGGGAGAAUUACUCGCUCUAAAACUUGUUGGGCUACCUUUUGUGAACAUUACUCAUUCAUUUCUAGCAUUGAACCUAUGA
Molecule: ribosomal RNA, 378 nt
Filed under: Triticum aestivum (bread wheat)
Lineage: Eukaryota; Viridiplantae; Streptophyta; Magnoliopsida; Poales; Poaceae
Description: partial small subunit ribosomal RNA
Source: RNAcentral